This 168-nucleotide long non-coding RNA is filed under the name Bos indicus x Bos taurus (hybrid cattle). RNAcentral's name for it is "lncRNA (ENSBIXG00000027969.1)". Lineage: Eukaryota; Metazoa; Chordata; Mammalia; Artiodactyla; Bovidae. The record is from RNAcentral.
GCUGAACCAAAGGAACAUAAUUAAAUCGCAUAUAUUAGUCACAGAUCUGAGAUAUCAGAGUACGUUUUUCUCCAAAGAGACUUCUAGUUCUUUCCCAAGAUUCCCAAGACUUUUUCUGCUAUUCAAAAUGCCAAACAACCAGGUGUCAAGUUGGUCAGCUGGAGCAAU